This 129-nucleotide ribosomal RNA is filed under the name Escherichia coli. RNAcentral describes it as "partial 16S ribosomal RNA". It matches the Rfam family "Bacterial small subunit ribosomal RNA", at positions 1 to 122 of the family's 1533-position model. The record is from RNAcentral. Lineage: Bacteria; Pseudomonadati; Pseudomonadota; Gammaproteobacteria; Enterobacterales; Enterobacteriaceae. RNAcentral also lists the same sequence under 8 other names.
AAAUUGAAGAGUUUGAUCAUGGCUCAGAUUGAACGCUGGCGGCAGGCCUAACACAUGCAAGUCGAACGGUAACAGGAAGCAGCUUGCUGCUUCGCUGACGAGUGGCGGACGGGUGAGUAAUGUCUGGGA